GGAGUUGUGGCUGAGCGGUCGAAAGCGUCACCCUGCUAAGGUGAAGUCCUCGCGUUUGGGGACCGAGGGUUCAAAUCCCUCCAACUCCGCCA
This 92-nucleotide transfer RNA is filed under the name Brevibacterium paucivorans. Its description in RNAcentral is "tRNA-Ser". It matches the Rfam family "tRNA". From Rfam's summary of the family: Transfer RNA (tRNA) molecules are approximately 80 nucleotides in length. Their secondary structure includes four short double-helical elements and three loops (D, anti-codon, and T loops). RNAcentral also lists the same sequence under 3 other names. Lineage: Bacteria; Bacillati; Actinomycetota; Actinomycetes; Micrococcales; Brevibacteriaceae. The record is from RNAcentral.